RNAcentral lists this ribosomal RNA (508 nucleotides) under uncultured bacterium. RNAcentral describes it as "partial 16S ribosomal RNA". It matches the Rfam family "Bacterial small subunit ribosomal RNA", at positions 28 to 507 of the family's 1533-position model. The record is from RNAcentral.
GACGAACGCUGGCGGCGUGCCUAAUACAUGCAAGUCGAACGCUUCUUUCCUCCCGAGUGCUUGCACUCAAUUGGAAAGAGGAGUGGCGGACGGGUGAGUAACACGUGGGUAACCUACCCAUCAGAGGGGGAUAACACUUGGAAACAGGUGCUAAUACCGCAUAACAGUUUAUGCCGCAUGGCAUAAGAGUGAAAGGCGCUUUCGGGUGUCGCUGAUGGAUGGGCCCGCGGUGCAUUAGCUAGUUGGUGAGGUAACGGCUCACCAAGGCCACGAUGCAUAGCCGACCUGAGAGGGUGAUCGGACACACUGGGACUGAGACACGGCCCAGACUCCUACGGGAGGCAGCAGUAGGGAAUCUUCGGCAAUGGACGAAAGUCUGACCGAGCAACGCCGCGUGAGUGAAGAAGGUUUUCGGAUCGUAAAACUCUGUUGUUAGAGAAGAACAAGGACGUUAGUAACUGAACGUCCCCUGACGGUAUCUAACCAGAAAGCCACGGCUAACUACGUG